CCGAGUUUACAACUCCCAAACCCAAUGUGAACGUUACCAAACUGUUGCCUCGGCGGGAUCUCUGCCCCGGGUGCGUCGCAGCCCCGGACCAAGGCGCCCGCCGGAGGACCAACCAAAACUCUUAUUGUAUACCCCCUCGCGGGUUUUUUUUAUAAUCUGAGCCUUCUCGGCGCCUCUCGUAGGCGUUUCGAAAAUGAAUCA
This 201-nucleotide unclassified non-coding RNA is filed under the name soil metagenome. Its description in RNAcentral is "partial internal transcribed spacer 1". The record is from RNAcentral.